AUGGGGCUAAUUUCUUGUGGUAAUGAUUUUAUAACGUUGGAAAUGUGUGAACCCUGUGCAAAUCUUCUGCACCAUACAGAUGAGCAGAUACUAAAGUACUGAAAUACCGUAUAAAAAGCGUUCAAAUUUAAGAAAAAUUGCUGAAGUGAAACAUGAACGUCAAAAUUAGCUACAAAAACUAUCAGUAGGACAUCCACUGAUUUGCUUAGCGGACCCAAAAUGCACGUUUAGUCUGAAGACCAGAAAAAGACCCAAUUUGACUUUAGAACCGAGUCCGUGUUCACCUGCAGUCCGGUCAGUUGGUGGAGACAUGAGAGCCGGAGGACUCAGUGUGGUGCCAAGCAUUGCCUUACAUUGUUGUCUUAACUCUAGAGCCUGAACGGUUGACUAGCCAAACCCAGAGCCCUACAGGACGUCCUGUGUACGGCUCUGGUUUAUAUCAAACCAAUCAGCAGUCUGCGGGGGCGUGUCUACAACUCUGUCUCCUAGCAACCCCUCACCAUCCACCCAUCAUGGGGAACUUUAAUAAUUAGAAUGUAAAAUAUGCGAAAAUUACAUACAUUUGCACAUUGCUGUAAAAAAAGAAAUAAUGUUGCUAGCACUUUUAAAAAAAGAAUCGUGUUAGAAAUCGCGUUUUGUUUUACAUAUUGUAAGAUGAAUCAGAGAUUUAUUUUAUGGAGGCUUUUAUUUUGCUGAUACAUACAAUAUGACAAAUAUAUAUAUAUUGAAUAUCUUUGUGUGUUAUCUAUAUUUGAUGCAGUAUAUAAUUGCGAUAAUGAUGAUGAUGAUGAUAAAGAUUUCUGGCUGAUUGUUCACGUUUAGCUGGCGAACACAAGCAAAGCGGUGCCUCGAGCUUUAGGCUACCUCACUCCUCAUUCAAACUUUCAAAGCAAAUUUCUUUUAGCUUUUUAUGCAAAGGUUUGUCAGCAGUACCGGCCGGUAGCAGGAGGGGAUUGUGGGAAGUUUCUCCAACGCCAAUAAAAACAAAAAGUCAUGCUUUAAAACAACUUAAACUGGGGACUUUUAGGUUGAAUUUUUAAAAAUUUAAUGUUGCUGAUACACACUGAUGCUGCGAGGCCUUUACACAGGUGUCUGACUAGCUAACGUGAACAACCAGUGUAGGGCGGGGCUAUUAUUCUGGCGGGUUUGCUGCGAUGCAGUGAUAUGAAGAAUGUCGAGGUUUCGUGUGGCUCUGAGCAAACUUCGAAAGGGAAUCUGUUGGGUUCUCUCUUUUACUUUUACUGACUUGUAAUGUUCAAAGUGCUCAAGUGUUUGAAGAGUUUUAGCUUUAGAUUAUUUUUAUUUGUGUUUUAAUCAAUAUCAGUGUUCUCCCAAUGACCCCCCCACGGCUCUCACGUCAUUACCUGAGUUUGAUAGAAAAGUAUGACAAACAAUCCUUUAAAGUCAAUUUGCUGAUAAUUGCUGACUGUAACUGCCAUUUGAAAUAAUUAGUAAGCUCCUGCCACUCACUAUCUCAGUAUAGUGAGGUAGUCAGACCUGGAGUGACAGUGCCAACAUGCGUGCAGCUGAAAAGAAAAACAAAAAAAACACUAAGAUACUCCACCGGUUAGUUUAAGACACUAAUUACAGCCAGAUACCCGAGAACUUAAAGAACAGCAUUAGCAGAAUCAGCGCGGACCAAAACGGACACGAAUCUGGUUUCUGUAUUUAAUCUGUGGCUUAAAGCCCUGUUCAGUCAGGAUGGAUGGAGGUUUUUAAUCCAGUCAAACAAAUGAGUUGGAUGAAAUGGUUAAGUUCAAAAACCUGCAUCCUUUACAACAAUGAUAAAAGUCGCCCUCCAUCAUGUUUGGUUUAUGCAAAGUAAGAAGUCAACACAGCAUAAUGGACACAAACAAGACAAACUCAGUCAUUUUCAGACCACAAAUGGAAACCUAAUACCUAAGUCGUCAGCUCGAAAAUACUUCAAUACAAACCCUUCUUUCAGUUAUUGUACACAACUAAUUCAAUAACGGAUCAGAGACAAAGUUUCUCAUUUUUAAAAUAUACAGACAACUCACUAAGUUAUCAGUAACUAAUGUCACUGAUAGCUGCUAUUUCAUUAAUAAAACUAAACCUACAGCAAUAACCAAUCAAACUCACAGUUUAAUGUUCAAUGUUUGAGUUUUUAAAAAGUUGUAUUGUAGUGUUCUCGUCUUGUUUCUGGACUGGAGCCUGGGUGGGUCAGAGUGUGAAAAAACAAAAAGAAUCUACAGCCAUUUAAGAAAAUGAACAUGUAUGUUACAAAAUCAAUGUUGUUUCAUGUCAGUUUGUGUGUGUGUGCUCUUCUGCCAAAACACAUGUUGUGACAGAGUCAUUAAUCCAAAACUGUGACCGGAGACGGCCAGGCUGGAUGCUGUAAAGCACACCUGCACAGGUGCAGGAAGGUGGCUCUUUUUGGUUUUCCUCACUCAGGCUGGAGUGAGUGAUGUCACAGAUGGUGGUGUGAACUGAACAUGCUAUGCAAACGGUUGUGCUUCAGCCUGCGUUUUCUGGACGAACAAUCAGACAUUCAGACAACAAAAAUGACCCAAAGCACCAUUUGGAUUCCCACAGUAAGAAAUGUUCUGGUCUCAUUUGGACUGAAGCCACACUUUACUAUUUUUUUUUAAUAAACAAUAACUGAUGUAACUGACCUUUUACAUAUCAAACUUUUUAAUGCCUGCAUUGCCUAUUAUUCGUUUUCAGACAAGUAUUUAAAACAAACAAACAAACUGAUUUUUAAAGAGUAAGAACUAAAAUAAAGUAAAAAGUAAGUUAAUGUCAGGCAUCGAUGUGUUGUGCUGAGAAUGUGAAUAUCUUUAGCAAAUUACUUUUAUGCAGCAUUUUGAAAUGCACAUCCAGAAUAUAUCCACAAUUCAACUUUUUGAGAUCUUUUUUUGUGUGGAAAAUUUAAAUGCUAAUUUGCUGUUGUAAAAAUUAAAUCAGAAAUGUAGCAUUAAGGACAACAGAAAUCACACCUGAAACAGAGCAGAAAAGGCUUUUAUGUUUAGUUUUUAAGUUUUAUAUUUUAAUUCAAUAAAGUUAAAACGUUGCUUUUAAAAUCUUAUGAAAUAGAACAGAACAGAUGCUUUUUAAUUUAAAUUUAAAAAAUCCCUGAACUUGUCCAUGUUGCUCUGACUGUCCGAUUAUUCACUUCAGGUUUUUGAUAAAUGACACUUCGGUCAGCUGGUUUCCUUCAGUGGAGAGCGUUUAUUUCCCAGAAUCCUCCUGUUGUUCUCAGACACCAUGUAAAGUAGAGAAAACUCACAGCAGAGAUGUUAGCAGAAUGUUUAGCGGUUAUUUUACAGCCGAUAAGUUGCCAAAAUAUUUAACGUCCAAAUAACCCAGAGCUACGGAAGCCUAAAAGGGAACAUGCAAAGAAACGAGAUGAUGCAUUAAGGUUUCGUUUCGUGACACAACAGGAAGGUUUUCUGGGAAAAGCAAAUAACUGGUGCUGCAGAAAAACAACCAAAAAUAUCACUGUGUGAAAUAUUCUUUUGGGAAGCUGACCUCAGGUGGGAUUGUUGCAGCAGUGGAACCAGCAGGAGGCACGCUCCUCCCCUGGGAAAUGUCAUCAAGUUUGGGUUGGAAACAGAGACAGAGACCCCUGACAAUUAAAACCUGCUGAAAUCAAUUAAGGGUUCAAUAAAAACACUGAAGUGUACACAAGAUCAAGCUAAAAUAAUUGGAAGCCAAGUGAGCGAAAUGACUCUCUCAGUAGCUUCCACUGAAGGCAAAGUACAAAACCAAACCAUCCAAUCACAGUCACCUCAUUAAUUGAACCUAUUCACUGUAACACAGCGGUCCCCAACCCCCGGGCCUCGGACCGGUACCGGUCCAUGAGUUGUUUGGUACCGGGCCGCGAGAGUUGAGGCUCAGGUGUGAAAUGUAUGGUUUUCAGGGUUUUUAUCGGUUUUCAGCAUUAUUUUGUUAUCGUUUUUAUCGUUAACUCGGUUUUCCUGGGUCUUUUCACGUGUGUUAUGAAUAAAUCUUUUUUUCGGUACCGGCACUAGUUUUAUUUUGUUGUAUUUAUCCGCGACACCUUAUUUCCGGUCCGUGAAAAUAUUGUCGGGCAUAAACCGGUCCGUGAGGCAAAAAAGGUUGGGGACCGCUGCUGUAACAGAUGGAAAUAUUCUGAGUGAACGUGUACACGCAACAGAUAGGAAAGAUUUCAGCUCAUCUUUUUAGGUUUUAGUUUUCCAAAUGCCAACAGGUCCUGCCUCUGUCCCAGCUCAAACACAGCUACAUGGUGCCCUCAGUGUUGUAACUGUGUCUUUGUGAUUUGUGUGAACCACAGUCUUCCAUCCAUAACUGUAGAGUAGACUCUCGAUUAAGUAGCUUAACGAAGUAACUAGUAGUCGUACUAAUGAUAAUAAUAACGUAACUCGGGGGCUUCAUGUUAACAAGUCACCAGCCAAAAAUUUUGCAGAGUCAAUGUUAAAGAGUUAACUUUGAGCCCUGACGGUGUCACCUGUGUUUCAUCGACCUUUGACCCCUGCGAGGGUCUCCAUGCUGCAAGCUGCUGUGAUCACUGUGCUCAUUCACCACCCAGUAAACUAACAGCAAUAAAACUAAUGUCACAACAAACA
Long non-coding RNA from Oreochromis aureus, 4568 nucleotides. Lineage: Eukaryota; Metazoa; Chordata; Actinopteri; Cichliformes; Cichlidae. The record is from Ensembl.